GCUUCAGUCACCUGUCAGUCAGCUAAGUUCUGCCAGCCUAGUGAGCUACACAUCUCUUGUCUUCCAGGAGGUUAACCCGAGCUUGUAUGCAUGGCUGUGCAGGAUUUCAAGUUGUUUUCGUUUCAGGUAACAGAAAGUGACUAAUUGGUUAAAACAGAAGACAGCUAUUGGGAGAGUCCUUGUUGUUUCAAGGAAUCCAAGGAAGAGAUGAGCAAGUACAUCUCAAGAGCUGCAAGAAGCCAAACGCUCUAUAGAGCUUGCAUUGAGUUUGCAUCUUCACUAACUCCUAGUCUCUGGGUCUUUUUUGGGUCCAAAAUUCCAGAUUUUUACAAGAACUUGAUUGGCCCAGGAUCUGGACAUGUCCUGCAAAUUGUGGUGACAGACACCUCUCUGCCUUCCUCUGGUCACCACUGCUGGAAUGAAUAGAGUUGAGCUGUGUGCAGCAGGAUGCCUCCAGAGACGUGCAAGCCAGACAUGAGGUGAGGGCAGGAUUCACUCGUUCUCAGGAAACUUGUCCCACAAUUAAACAGCAAGAGUGCCAAUAGGUGGGAGGAUUCCGACUUCUUCAGGUGAACAGCUUGCCUCGUCUUGGCUUGGGCACACUUUAGAGGAACAAUUGUUUUGUAGAGGGGUGGCCGUUCUGGAAACCAAGUCUAAUGGCUGGUGUGGAUGUGGAGAGUCAGGAAUCAGCCAUUGCUUCAGGGACUGUGGAAGAGGGUCCAAGAUCUCUGUGGAGUCUGAAGAGUGUGCAGGUGAACUGCAGACAACGCCAGAACUGUGCAUCCCUCUUCCUUUCCUCCCCCUACAUUUUACCUCCCUAGAGCAUUUCCACACCUACUGAUGCCUUGCACCAUGGAGAUUAAAUCUACAGACACUGGAGUCAGACAGGCUGGGUGUGCCUUCAGCCACUGCCCCUUUCUAAUGAAGUGAGCUUAGGUGAAUUAUCUCACCUCUCUGAACCUCAGUGUUGUCUUAAAAAACAUGGAUAUAAUUGUAAUCAUGUCAUUGGGUGGGUGGUUGUGCAAAUGAGAUAAUGAAUAUGAAUCACCAAGCCUAUAGUGGAUGCUCAAUAAAUGGCAGUUGCUUUUA
RNAcentral lists this long non-coding RNA (1089 nucleotides) under Homo sapiens (human). RNAcentral describes it as "HSALNT0291322". The record is from RNAcentral. Lineage: Eukaryota; Metazoa; Chordata; Mammalia; Primates; Hominidae.